This is a long non-coding RNA of Leptopilina heterotoma, 769 nucleotides long. RefSeq lists it as uncharacterized. The record is from RefSeq and is a predicted model, not a curated record. NCBI's taxonomy places the organism in Eukaryota, Metazoa, Arthropoda, Insecta, Hymenoptera, Figitidae. The transcript is spliced from 2 exons.
AUUUGAAAAUCAACAUUUCUUAGAAUUGUCAUAAAUCAAGUAGAAUAGCGAAAGAAAAUGACAAUGCAACAUGUGUUUACCAUACUUGUGACCACAGAAAUGGCUUCGAAAAGUCACGUACACAUAGACUUUCAUUAUGCGACGAACUUUAAUUAUCAAUUGUAUAAUAUGAACAUUAUGAACAAUUGACAAUAAUAUUAUAUUGUUGCUAAUUAUGCAAUAUGAAUGUAUUAUUUGAAAAUGAUAUUAUUAGUAAACUUCAUCUAAUUGAGUGUUGUAAUAUUAUGGUAUUGAAUAUAAAUAUAUAUUUGUAACGUAUUAAUAUAAUAAUAAUAUUAUAUUAUGAUAUAUUAUCAAAUUGGUUAUCGUUGUAAUUGUUAUUUAUAUUUAAAUAUGAUGAGUGCAGUAUAAGAGAUUUAUUGUUACUAGAUAUGAUGUAAAUAAUUAAUAAUUGUGUAAUUAGUGUGAAUGAAAAAGGGUUAUGUUCACUUGUUGUGAUACAUGUUUUCAAUACGUAGAGUAUGUUUAUACGUGUAUUAGUGCAGUGCAGUGUUGGUGUUGUGAUUCUGAACACUCCAUAGACUUUACAAACUCUAUAACAGGGCAUGCGCAAAGAUUUUGCCAUGGACCAAGGGCUAAAUGCUCCCUCACGAAUUCAGUUCUACUUUGGAGUUCUUUCGUAAUGUACUUCAGAGUAGUCCCAAAAAUAGUCAUAAGAAUAACUUCGACUUGUGUAAUGUUUUUGACUUUAAUAAAUGUAUUGGGUUUA